Molecule: ribosomal RNA, 465 nt
Filed under: uncultured bacterium
Lineage: Bacteria
Description: partial 16S ribosomal RNA
Rfam family: Bacterial small subunit ribosomal RNA
Source: RNAcentral
CUACGGGGUGCUGCAGUGGGGAAUAUUGCGCAAUGGGCGAAAGCCUGACGCAGCAACGCCGUGUGAGUGAUGAAGGUUUUCGGAUCGUAAAACUCUGUCAGGAGGAACGAAACCCGCUGAGAACAAUACCUCAGUGGCUUGACGGUACCUCCAGAGGAAGCACCGGCUAACUCCGUGCCAGCAGCCGCGGUAAUACGGAGGGUGCUAGCGUUGUUCGGAAUUACUGGGCGUAAAGCGCGUGUAGGCGGAUUCGGAAGUCGGGUGUGAAAGCCCUGGGCUCAACCCAGGAAGUGCGCCCGAAACCACGAGUCUUGAGGUCCGGAGGGGAUCGGGGAAUUCCCAGUGUAGAGGUGAAAUUCGUAGAUAUUGGGAGGAACACCUGUGGCGAAGGCGCCGAUCUGGACGGAUUCUGACGCUGAGAUGCGAAAGCGUGGGUAGCAAACAGGAUUAGAUACCCGUGUAGUC